This 423-nucleotide unclassified non-coding RNA is filed under the name fungal sp. RNAcentral describes it as "partial internal transcribed spacer region". The stretch from base 1 to 46 matches the Rfam family "Eukaryotic small subunit ribosomal RNA", at positions 1786 to 1831 of the family's 1831-position model. Lineage: Eukaryota; Fungi. The record is from RNAcentral.
AAGUCGUAACAAGGUCUCCGUAGGUGAACCUGCGGAGGGAUCAUUAACACUUUAAACAAAAAUAAACACAAUCCGGUAACCUCUUGCUAGUUUUUUGUUUUUAGUAUUGGAAGUUUUAUGAAGAAAACCAAAAAAAGGAAGUGAUUUAUAGAUCUUGAGUUCUUGGAUGUAUUUCUGAUUGAUGCUCUCUAUAUUUUACUUUGUUUUUUUACUUUCUCAAUAGUUCUUCCUUUCUAGAUAAAUUUCUAGUAAGAAACCUUUUUUAUUCUAUUCACUCGUAUUUAUGCAAGUGUAAUAGUAUAAUAACUUAUACUAUCAGUACUAAAUCUUUUUCUUUCUCUUUUGUUUCUAGCAAACAAAUGAAAAGAAAAAAACCUAAAUAAACAUUGAGCACAACUCUUAACAAUGGAUAUCUAGGCUCUC